GAUGAACGCUGGCGGCGUGCCUAAUACAUGCAAGUCGAACGCUGGAAAUCUAGCUUGCUCGAUUGAAGGAGUGGCGAACGGGUGAGUAAUACAUAAGCAACCUACCCACGAAGACUGGGAUAAUCUCUGGAAACGGGGACUAAUACCGGAUAGGUAAUCGGAAGGCAUCUUCUGAUUAUUAAAGGUUAAAAACACUGGUGGAUGGGCUUAUGGCGCAUUAGUUAGUUGGUGAGGUAACGGCCCACCAAGACGAUGAUGCGUAGCCGGCCUGAGAGGGUGAACGGCCACAUUGGGACUGAGACACGACCCAGACUCCUACGGGAGGCAGCAGUAGGGAAUUUUCGGCAAUGGGGGAAACCCUGACCGAGCAACGCCGCGUGAGUGAUGACGGCCUUCGGGUUGUAAAGCUCUGUUGUAAGGGAAGAACGGUAGAUAGAGAAUAUCUAAAUGACGGUACCUUACCAGAAAGCCACGGCUAACUACGUG
Molecule: ribosomal RNA, 486 nt
Filed under: uncultured bacterium
Lineage: Bacteria
Description: partial 16S ribosomal RNA
Rfam family: Bacterial small subunit ribosomal RNA
Source: RNAcentral